UGAGCCACGGCGCCGGCCUAUCAUUAACUUCUUUUAACACAUAACAUUGUUGUCUAUUAACAGAGAUACAUUUACUUCUUUCAAUUCCAGUGCCUUUCUAUUCCCAAUUGCUAGGACUAGUAUUUCUAGUAUUAUGUUAAGUAGAAGUGAUAAAAUUGUUCUUGUUCCAGAACUUAGCCAAAAAUAUUCCAUGGUCUCUCCAUUGAAUAUAAUGUUAGCUGUAGGGAUUUUUAUGUUUAUGAAGAUUACUUCUGUUUCUAACUACUGAGUCCUUUCUUCAUAAUAUAUAAUUAGAUACUCUGAAAUGUUUUUCCUGCGUCAAUGGAGAUAUUCACAUUUUUCCUUCAUUCUGUACAUGUGAUAUAUUGAUCGGAGUUUUUUUGAAUCAAUUUAGAAUUCAAUGGAAAAUACAUUAGAGCACAGUGUAUGUUAGGCUGUAACUCAUGCUUUCUUCAUAACCUAAAUAAUUCUUCACACCCAUUAUCUUUCAGGAUCUCAGAAGCUCAGUGCUUAAAAUGUGCUCAUUUCUUCAGAAAGAACUGAGUGAAGAAGAUGUGGAUGCUGUUGUGAAUCAGGCUACAUUUGAGAACAUGAAGUCUCUUCCACAAGCAAACUAUACUAAUAUUAUAAAAAGUCAGGGUGCGAUGAGACAUCAGGACGGACAUUUCAUGCGCAAAGGUACAAUUGGAGAUUGGAAACAUCAUUUGACUGUGGAGCAGAGUGAAAGAUUUGACAGGAUAUUCCAGAGAAAGAUGAAAGGUGUUCCCUUGGAAUUCAUCUGGGAUUAAAUGAAUAGAACUGUAAUCACAUUGAAAAUUAGUCUAACUUGUCACUUUCAUUCAAUUAUUAAUUAUGCCAAUGUAUUAAUAAAUAUAAUGAAUAAAAAAUUCUUAGUAGUAGUAGUUGUCAUGAGUUCCACGGGAAAAUAAUUGAAAAAAAAUUGACUCAUAUUCAACUACUGAAACUGAGAAUUUAAAUUCAGAAUAAAUCAGUCAUGGAAAUUUUCAAAAUUAAUUUAAAUUGAUUUCAGAGAUAGCAUUAUCACUCUGCAUAAUGGUAAAACAAAAUCAUAACAUUGUCAUUCUGUAUAAUAAUGCAGUAAGUGCAAAUCAUAAUUCAAUAAUUGUAAAUGUAUGCAGAAAGUGUUCUGUGAUGCAUAUUUUUCUUUUUUAUCUAUAUUAAAGUAAGAAUCAAUAAAACAUAAAAAUUCCUUUA
Long non-coding RNA from Lepus europaeus (European hare), 1215 nucleotides. RefSeq lists it as uncharacterized. The record is from RefSeq and is a predicted model, not a curated record. NCBI's taxonomy places the organism in Eukaryota, Metazoa, Chordata, Mammalia, Lagomorpha, Leporidae. The transcript is spliced from 2 exons.